CUCACCUUCCAGUGAAGCGGAGGGGUCUUUGGUCCCGGGCUCCUCGGCCUCGGGGCCACUCUCUGUGGGCCCCACGUCGUCUGGGGUCUCCUCGCUGCUGCUGCUGCUGGAGGCCUGCUCCUCCUGCUCCACCUGCUCCUUCUCCACCUCCUCAGGGGACUCGUCGGACUCCUUCAGCAUCUCGUCCAGCUCCUCUGCUAGCUUCUGUUCCGACUCCUCGCUCGACUCGUUGGAUUCGGAGACCUCGCUAGCCUCACCGGCCUCGUUAGCCUUGUUAGCCUCGCUAGAGUCGCUAGCAUCACCAGCGUCGCUGGCGUCGCUAGAUUCGCUAGACUUGCUAGAUUCGCUAGAGUCGCUAGAGUCGCUAGCAUCGCUGGCAUCGAUAGCCUUGCUAGCAUUGCUGGCCUCGCCAGCCAUGGUAACCUCGCUGGAGUCGCUAACCUCGCUAUUGUCGCUAGAGUCGCUGUCCUCGCUAGACUCGCUGUCCUCGCUAGACUCGGUAGCCUUGGUAACCUCGCCGGAGUCGCUAACCUCGCUAUUCUCGCUAGAGUCGCUAUCCUCGCUAGCCUUGGUAACCAUGGCAACCUCGUCAGACUCGCUAGCCGCGGGAGCCUCGAUAGAGUCGUUAACCUCUUUAUUCUCGCUAGAGUCGCUAUCCUCGCUAGCCUUGGUAACCAUGGGAACCUCGUCAGACUCGCUAGCCGCGGUAGCCUCGAUAGAGUCGUUAACCUCUUUAUUCUCGCUAGAGUCGCUAUCCUCGCUAGCCUCGGUAACCAUGGCAACCUCGUCAGACUCGCUAGCCGCGGUAGCCUCGAUAGAGUCGUUAACCUCUUUGUUCUCGCUAGAGUCGCUAUCCUCGCUAGCCUCGGUAACCAUGGCAACCUCGUCAGACUCGCUAGCUGCGGUAGCCUCGAUAGAGUCGUUAACCUCUUUGUUCUCGCUAGAGUCGCUAUCCUCGGUAGCCUUGGUAACCAUGCUGGAGUCGUUAACCUCUCUAUUGUCGCUAGAGUCGCUAUCCUCACUAGCUUCGGUAGCCUUGGUAACCAUGCUGGAGUCGUUCACCUCUUUAUUCUCGCUAGAGUCGCUAUCCUCGGUAGCCUUGGUAUAUUCCCUAGGGUCGUUAACCUCUCUAUUCUCGCUCGAGUCGUUAACCCAGCUAGCCGUGGUAACCAUGGUAACCUUGUCAGACUCGCUAGGCUUGCCGGACUGUCCAGCCUCGUCAGAGUCGUCAUUAUUAUCAUCAGCAUCAUCUGCCACACCAGCGGCGGUGCUAUCGUUCUUCUGGUCUGACUCUGGCUCCUCCUCUUCCUCUGAACUUUCCUUUUCUGGUCCACAUCCUUCUCCUCCUGGCUGCUGUCUCCUCCUGGCUGUGGGUCCUCCUGGUCGUUCACCUGCUCCUGGGAUUCUGCAGCGUCGGGCGAGUCUGUGAUCAGGUCUGGAAGGGGAGCAGAAACAGCUUUUCUCUGGUACGCCUUCAACACAUGUCCUUGGUGAGUUUCUGAGCCCCAGAUCCAGAUGGUUAAGACAGGUUAGUUGAGAGUUUU
Gadus morhua (Atlantic cod) is the source of this 1544-nucleotide long non-coding RNA. The record is from Ensembl. Lineage: Eukaryota; Metazoa; Chordata; Actinopteri; Gadiformes; Gadidae.